GACGAACGCUGGCGGCGUGCUUAACACAUGCAAGUCGAACGGAAAGGCCCUGCUUUUGUGGGGUGCUCGGGUGGCGAACGGGUGAGUAACACGUGAGUAACCUGCCCUUGACUUUGGGAUAACUUCAGGAAACUGGGGCUAAUACCGGAUAGGAGCUCCUGCUGCAUGGUGGGGGUUGGAAAGUUUCGGCGGUUGGGGAUGGACUCGCGGCUUAUCAGCUUGUUGGUGGGGUAGUGGCUUACCAAGGCUUUGACGGGUAGCCGGCCUGAGAGGGUGACCGGCCACAUUGGGACUGAGAUACGGCCCAGGCUCCUACGGGAGGCAGCAGUGGGGAAUAUUGCACAAUGGGCGGAAGCCUGAUGCAGCAACGCCGCGUGCGGGAUGACGGCCUUCGGGUUGUAAACCGCUUUCGCCUGUGACGAAGCGUGAGUGACGGUAAUGGGUAAAGAAGCACCGGCUAACUACGUG
Molecule: ribosomal RNA, 468 nt
Filed under: uncultured bacterium
Lineage: Bacteria
Description: partial 16S ribosomal RNA
Rfam family: Bacterial small subunit ribosomal RNA
Source: RNAcentral